UACGGGGGGAGCAAGCGUUGUUCGGAUUUACUGGGCGUAAAGGGCGCGUAGGCGGCCAGCGCAAGUCAGUUGUGAAAUCUCCGGGCUUAACUCGGAAAGGUCAACUGAUACUGCGCGGCUAGAGUGCAGAAGGGGCAACUGGAAUUCUCGGUGUAGCGGUGAAAUGCGUAGAUAUCGAGAGGAACACCUGCGGCGAAGGCGGGUUGCUGGGCUGACACUGACGCUGAGGAGCGAAAGCGUGGGGAGCGAACAGG
This 254-nucleotide ribosomal RNA is filed under the name uncultured bacterium. RNAcentral's name for it is "partial 16S ribosomal RNA". It matches the Rfam family "Bacterial small subunit ribosomal RNA", at positions 524 to 776 of the family's 1533-position model. The record is from RNAcentral.